RNAcentral lists this ribosomal RNA (117 nucleotides) under Sinocyclocheilus grahami. The record is from RNAcentral. Lineage: Eukaryota; Metazoa; Chordata; Actinopteri; Cypriniformes; Cyprinidae.
UAUGGCAGCCAUAUCACCCUGUAGCCCAAGACUGGUUGCCCACUGAAGCUAAGCAGGGCUGAGCCUGGUCAGUACCUGGAUGGGAGACCUCCCGGGAAAACUAUGUUGAGGUGGAAG